GCCGAGGUGGUGGAAUGGUAGACACACGGGACUCAAAAUCCCGCGAUAGCAAUAUCAUGAGGGUUCAAGUCCCUCCCUCGGCA
Molecule: transfer RNA, 83 nt
Filed under: Candidatus Moraniibacteriota bacterium
Lineage: Bacteria; Candidatus Moraniibacteriota
Also listed under: 1 other name
Description: tRNA-Leu
Rfam family: tRNA
About the family: Transfer RNA (tRNA) molecules are approximately 80 nucleotides in length. Their secondary structure includes four short double-helical elements and three loops (D, anti-codon, and T loops). Further hydrogen bonds mediate the characteristic L-shaped molecular structure. tRNAs have two regions of fundamental functional importance: the anti-codon, which is responsible for specific mRNA codon recognition, and the 3' end, to which the tRNAs corresponding amino acid is attached (by aminoacyl-tRNA synthetases). tRNAs cope with the degeneracy of the genetic code in two manners: having more than one tRNA (with a specific anti-codon) for a particular amino acid; and 'wobble' base-pairing, i.e. permitting non-standard base-pairing at the 3rd anti-codon position.
Source: RNAcentral